This 386-nucleotide long non-coding RNA is filed under the name Capsella rubella. RNAcentral describes it as "long non-coding RNA (CRUB_LNC005010)". The record is from RNAcentral. Lineage: Eukaryota; Viridiplantae; Streptophyta; Magnoliopsida; Brassicales; Brassicaceae.
GAUUUUUUGUGUUUUUGAUUUUUGUUUUUGGCUUUCUGUUGGUCAGAAUUUCAAAUAGAUGGAGUAAUGCAAAACAGAGUAACGUGCGAAUGCAGAAUCGAAUAUGACAAAGUGAAAAACAUAGAGUGGGAGAUAAUUAUUUGGGUGUGAUCUUGUCAAGUGAGUAAAAAAAAAAAAAAAAAAAAAAAAAUCUCACUCGCUCAACUCAUCCUACAUCCAAACCACACAUAUCUUAUCUUCACUCACCCAUCCUUCCCACCUUUCACUCAAUUUCAUCAUUCAACCCUCUUCACUCGAGCUCACCACUCUUUCACACGACCAACGAAUCCACUCGAACGUUCUCGUCGUUACUAGACGAAGGAACCACGAACAUCAUGUCCUCUUCG